This 2032-nucleotide long non-coding RNA is filed under the name Daphnia pulicaria. RNAcentral describes it as "uncharacterized LOC124340449, transcript variant X1". Lineage: Eukaryota; Metazoa; Arthropoda; Branchiopoda; Diplostraca; Daphniidae. The record is from RNAcentral.
UACCAUUCGGUGUUGGCGUGUGAAACUGUGACGGCGUAGGAUUGUUGAUAAGGAAGGACCGUAUAAAGGCAUCACAUGUUCACAUCACUAUUUACACCAAAAUUUCAAAGCAAGACAUUGAACCUGCCCAACUUGACAAGUUUUGAUGGCCAUUUGAUGUUCAAGGUGAUAAUGUAGAUGCUGAAUUUCUGUGAAUUUCAAUGUCAUGGCUUUCUACUAGUAGCGAUUGCAUGUCUCAACCCAUGCUGAAACACAACAGCAAAAGUAUUCUUGCUCAUGGACCAUAGGAUCUUUUCCGAAUCUUGGAAUUUUGGUAGUGAAACCUGUGACAGCAUACUCGUUAUGACUGUUUCUACAUCCCUGUAUGUGGUUGGAGGCAACCCAUCUGAGAGAUAGAGUUUCAGUUACAGUCACAUGACGAGUGUGAAGUGAAUGGAAUUCUCAUUUACUUUGCUGUUUGUGAAAAUCUUCAACACAUGACAUACACUAAUUGAAGUUUCAACAUUUCGAAAUUUCAUCAAGUCAACAGCUAUUACCUUCAAUCACAUGUGUGCUGUUGUAAAGGGGAGUUUGUUGUUCCACUGGUUCAUGUGUAGCAGUGAUAUAGCUGUCCAAAGUGUAUUGUUGCAGCCUGUGGUGAAAGAUAUUGUGCAACGAAUUGCGAAGGAAGGAGCUGCGGUGGUGUAAUAUCCUGUACUACUGUAUGGGGCUGUGGUGUAGUAAGUUGGACUCUCUUGCAGGUACCGCGUAACUUUGUUGGCGUCAUAUUCAGAAGAGUCCUGCUGGUAGGACGGCGUAGCAGCUGAGUAAUAUGAAUCAGUUUCCUCGGGUAAAUCGCCGGCAUUAUAGUGGGAAGAAGAUUCUUCGUAGGCCUACCGGGAGUAGAUUCCAGGUCGUAUGGGCUAUAGUAAUCGCUGGGCAAAUAGUAGCUCGCUACAGCUUGGGUGAAGGGAGCAGGUCCAUAUGCGUAGCUAGAAGUAGUGGUAUGGUAACCAUGCUCUUCGUACCGGUAGCCAUCAGUGGUAAAAGUUGGCGCUGAAUAAUAAGAACUCUUUGUGAGUGGCUCGUACACACUCAUUUCAUUGGGUGCUACUUAUCUGGUAGCACUCCCUUAAGUAGCACUAAGUAGCAUUUUUUUCGCAACCUAGAGAGUAGCGUCCUCUACGUAUUAGGUAGAGGAUCUACUUUAUAGUAGUACUUUGCUACUAUUGAACUACUUUCUGCUGCAAGUAGCAUUUCACUACUAAUAAUAAUACUGAAAUGCUACCACAAUCACAGUAGCGGUCGCUACGAUCGCACUAGCCUAUAUGGAACCUGCAUGGCCGUUCUCUUACACUAGAACACAAUCAUUCUAACGUGGAUUUGUGUUUGAAUAAUAAUGCUGUGCAUGCGUGUGCAUGCUAUAGCUUUUCAUCUAUGAAACGAGUGUGUAUGCUGAGAAACGGUCGAAGAUACACAAUAAAAUUAAAAUAUACAACGCAGAAAGCAUUCGAAGUUAGAAUUCUUGAAAAUAUACAACAAGGUAUUAUUUGCAUCAAAACUUCUAGAUAAGAAUUUUGAUUCGAUGCUGUAAAUAAUUUACAAAGACGGAUAAGGUGCAUCUAUGUAGUUUAUGGAACGAUCAAACCCAUGAUGAGAGAAAAGAAGAGUAAGAAGGCAGUGCGGGGAAUGGGGGGGGAGGUGACGUUAGAGGAAGGAGAGAGUUAGAACGAGGACGGGUUCUGGAGCUGUUAGAUCAAGAAGUAAGAAGGAUUGGGAUCCGAAGAGAGUUAGAACCUAGAGCGUUAUAGCAAUCAUAAGGAACGAUGGGUGUAGUGGUUAGCGUACAGCGCUACGGAUCCCAAGGUGUAAGGUUCGAUCCCAGCCUCAGACAACUUUUCAUUAUUGAAAAAAAGGUUAUUAAGUAGCCUAUCUACUAAUGAAUUGAUGGUUGCGACGGUUACUAUGCAAGUAGCGUUCCUCAACUUAUAAGUUGCACUGUCCAUUUCGCAUCUUAUAAGUAGCGCUAAGUAGCACUCAUUUGAAUGAGAGU